AACGCUGGCGGCGUGCUUAACACAUGCAAGUCGAACGGAAAGGCCUGCUUGCAGGGUACUCGAGUGGCGAACGGGUGAGUAACACGUGGGUGAUCUGCCCUGCACUUCGGGAUAAGCCUGGGAAACUGGGUCUAAUACCGGAUAGGAGCCAUUUUUAGUGUGAUGGUUGGAAAGUUUUUUCGGUGUAGGAUGAGCUCGCGGCCUAUCAGCUUGUUGGUGGGGUAAUGGCCUACCAAGGCGGCGACGGGUAGCCGGCCUGAGAGGGUGGACGGCCACAUUGGGACUGAGAUACGGCCCAGUCUCCU
Molecule: ribosomal RNA, 305 nt
Filed under: uncultured Corynebacterium CB9
Lineage: Bacteria; Bacillati; Actinomycetota; Actinomycetes; Mycobacteriales; Corynebacteriaceae
Description: bacterial SSU rRNA
Rfam family: Bacterial small subunit ribosomal RNA
Source: RNAcentral